GAACGCUGGCGGCGUGCCUAAUACAUGCAAGUCGAGCGAGCUUGCCUAGAUGAUUUUAGUGCUUGCACUAAAUGAAACUAGAUACAAGCGAGCGGCGGACGGGUGAGUAACACGUGGGUAACCUGCCCAAGAGACUGGGAUAACACCUGGAAACAGAUGCUAAUACCGGAUAACAACACUAGACGCAUGUCUAGAGUUUGAAAGAUGGUUCUGCUAUCACUCUUGGAUGGACCUGCGGUGCAUUAGCUAGUUGGUAAGGUAACGGCUUACCAAGGCAAUGAUGCAUAGCCGAGUUGAGAGACUGAUCGGCCACAUUGGGACUGAGACACGGCCCAAACUCCUACGGGAGGCAGCAGUAGGGAAUCUUCCACAAUGGACGAAAGUCUGAUGGAGCAACGCCGCGUGAGUGAAGAAGGGUUUCGGCUCGUAAAGCUCUGUUGGUAGUGAAGAAAGAUAGAGGUAGUAACUGGCCUUUAUUUGACGGUAAUUACUUAGAAAGUCACGGCUAACUACGUGCCAGCAGCCGCGGUAAUACGUAGGUGGCAAGCGUUGUCCGGAUUUAUUGGGCGUAAAGCGAGUGCAGGCGGUUCAAUAAGUCUGAUGUGAAAGCCUUCGGCUCAACCGGAGAAUUGCAUCAGAAACUGUUGAACUUGAGUGCAGAAGAGGAGAGUGGAACUCCAUGUGUAGCGGUGGAAUGCGUAGAUAUAUGGAAGAACACCAGUGGCGAAGGCGGCUCUCUGGUCUGCAACUGACGCUGAGGCUCGAAAGCAUGGGUAGCGAACAGGAUUAGAUACCCUGGUAGUCCAUGCCGUAAACGAUGAG
RNAcentral lists this ribosomal RNA (822 nucleotides) under uncultured bacterium. RNAcentral's name for it is "bacterial SSU rRNA". It matches the Rfam family "Bacterial small subunit ribosomal RNA", at positions 31 to 813 of the family's 1533-position model. The record is from RNAcentral.